Molecule: ribosomal RNA, 258 nt
Filed under: uncultured Rhodoferax sp.
Lineage: Bacteria; Pseudomonadati; Pseudomonadota; Betaproteobacteria; Burkholderiales; Comamonadaceae
Description: partial 16S ribosomal RNA
Rfam family: Bacterial small subunit ribosomal RNA
Source: RNAcentral
CAGUUGGGCACUCUAAUGAGACUGCCGGUGACAAGCCGGAGGAAGUGGGGAUGACGUCAAGUCCUCAUGGCCCUUAUAGGUGGGGCCUACACACGUCAUACAAUGGCUGGGUACAAAGGGUUGCCAACCCGCGAGGGGGAGCCAAUCCCAUAAAGCCAGUCGUAGUCCGGAUCGUAGUCUGCAACUCGACUACGUGAAGUCGGAAUCGCUAGUAAUCGUGGAUCAGAAUGUCCGCGGUCGAAUACGUUCCCGGGCCUU